This 716-nucleotide ribosomal RNA is filed under the name Wulfenia x schwarzii. RNAcentral's name for it is "eukaryotic LSU rRNA". The stretch from base 322 to 477 matches the Rfam family "5.8S ribosomal RNA". Lineage: Eukaryota; Viridiplantae; Streptophyta; Magnoliopsida; Lamiales; Plantaginaceae. The record is from RNAcentral.
UGACGUCGCGAGAAGUCCACUGAACCUUAUCAUUUAGAGGAAGGAGAAGUCGUAACAAGGUUUCCGUAGGUGAACCUGCGGAAGGAUCAUUGUCGAAACCUGCAAAGCAGACCCGCGAACACGUGUUUAUCAUUCACGGGGCCUCAAUCUAGGUGUGCAAGCCCCUUUGUUGAGAGUCCCGCGCCUGCUCGACGCAAGCGUUUGGCAGGAUAACGAACCCCGGCGCGGCAUGCGCCAAGGAAAACUUAAAAGAAGCGUUGCCCCCACGACGCCCGUUCGCGGUGCGCACGUGGGAAAGCGACGUCUCUCGAAUGUCUAAACGACUCUCGGCAACGGAUAUCUCGGCUCUCGCAUCGAUGAAGAACGUAGCGAAAUGCGAUACUUGGUGUGAAUUGCAGAAUCCCGUGAACCAUCGAGUCUUUGAACGCAAGUUGCGCCCGAAGCCUUUUGGCCGAGGGCACGCCUGCCUGGGCGUCACGCAUCGCGUCGCCCCCUCCAUAUCCCUCGGGAUGUUGUGUGGGGGCGGAAAAUGGCCUCCCGUGCGACUAGUUCGUGCGGCUGGCCCAAAUACGAUCCUGCAUCGACGGAUGUUACGACCAGUGGUGGAUUGUUACUCAAUCGAGCUGUCGUGCGUCACCCCGUCGGUCGCUAGGCAUCAAGUCGACCCAAUGGUGCUCAACGCACUUCCGACCGCGACCCCAGGUCAGGCGGGACUU